UGGGGACUGGGUGAACAGGGGUCGGCUACCCCCUUAUCGACGACUUCAGCCUGCUGAUGAGCUCCCACACGAAUUGCUUGAUUCAUGGUUGAAGACGAUCAUGGCCCUGCCUGGUGUUAGUUUUGUGCCUGAUCAAUCUCUAAAAUGAACAUUCGUUUCGAAUGAGGAUUUCUGGCUUUUGCCGCAUCGAUCUUUAAUAAUUCGGAUCAGUGAUAGAUAUAGACUGAUGGCCUCUUUCGCUGCUGCUUCUGCCUGGUACGGUAAAAUUUGUGAGUUCUGCUCCACUUGGCAACAUGCCUUUUUUCUGCGAAUGUCUGCUUCACUUGAUAACCCUAUUGCUUGGGUUUAUAUAUGGUCAGUUGAUUUCUGACUUUUGUCAGAUCGUUCUUUAAAAAUUCGGAUAUGUGAUAGAUAUAGACUGAUGGCCAGUUUCACUGCUGGUUAAUCACGCUAAGGUAAAAUUUGUGAGUUCUGCUCGAAAGACCAACAUGCGAAUUUUCCGCAAAUGUCGUCUUCACAGUAUAACCAGAUUGCUUGGGGUUAAUAUAUGGUCACAAC
This 558-nucleotide unclassified non-coding RNA is filed under the name Pseudomonas putida. RNAcentral describes it as "partial contains 16S ribosomal RNA and 16S-23S ribosomal RNA intergenic spacer". The record is from RNAcentral. Lineage: Bacteria; Pseudomonadati; Pseudomonadota; Gammaproteobacteria; Pseudomonadales; Pseudomonadaceae.